This 229-nucleotide ribosomal RNA is filed under the name uncultured bacterium. RNAcentral's name for it is "partial 16S ribosomal RNA". It matches the Rfam family "Bacterial small subunit ribosomal RNA", at positions 568 to 796 of the family's 1533-position model. The record is from RNAcentral.
CGCGUAGGCGGUCUUGUCGGUCAGAUGUGAAAGCCCAGGGCUCAACCCUGGACGUGCAUUUGAAACAGCAAGACUUGAGUACGGGAGAGGAAAGCGGAAUUCCUGGUGUAGAGGUGAAAUUCGUAGAUAUCAGGAGGAACGCCGAUGGCGAAGGCAGCUUUCUGGACCGAUACUGACGCUGAGGCGCGAAGGCGUGGGUAGCGAACAGGAUUAGAUACCCUGGUAGUCC